This 2680-nucleotide long non-coding RNA is filed under the name Mus musculus (house mouse). RNAcentral's name for it is "long non-coding RNA chr15:100126526-100129206". The record is from RNAcentral. Lineage: Eukaryota; Metazoa; Chordata; Mammalia; Rodentia; Muridae.
GGAAGACACAUGUGUGAAGUUUACAAAGAGCAUGCAGGGUUAAAACCAUGAGCCCUGAUGAUCAUUACCUCACUGCACGGCUGAGAGCAUGGCAGCUCUGAUCACCUUUGCAGUGAAUGUUUUGUCCAGUGCUUCAUCUCUGAGCUGCCUUGCUUGGCACUGCUCCUCCUCCAUGUGUGAAUAUCUCUGAAGUUACAGGCAGCAGCGUCAGGGGUAAGAACUGAAUUGGCGUCUCCUGUGUUCCUGGGUGGGAACGUUGUGCUGUUCCUUUCUGGGCUGUGCUUGGGUCACUACGUUCAAUCAGCAGACACAUAGAAGACUCACCCACGCUCAGAAGAGCACAUUGUGUGCAUGAUGACUGUUGAAAAGGGAUGACAUGUAACAACUCUACCGCUCCAUUUAAAGGAACCGCUGACCCCUAGUGGCCGCUCCGCAUAGCAUAGCUGCCUGAAGAGCCAAAACAUCACUGUAGUGACCUCUGUUAAAGUCACACGGGGAGGGGAGACUGCAUUUGUAAGGCUGCAGCCUCUAGUCCAGUCUUUAUACUUAGUGCCUUUCAAGUUACAUCAGUUUUAUAAGUACCCCCGUGUCUAUAAACUAAAUAGCGGGAGGGUAAAGAAUUCUGUUAUAGCUAGUCACUGCAGGUUCCAUCUAGUCCUUACUAUAGAGAAAGUUAUUUGUUCAGACUAAGGGUCUGAGUUUUUCACUUUAAUUUAUAGAUUAUCUAUUAUGUUGCUAUAUAUAGUGAUUCCACCGUUGCUUUUAGUUUUUUCUUGCCAUGGCAGUAAAAUUAAACACUUUAUCCCAAUCAUGGGGCCUUGUAUUGAGGCUCCCCAAGUAACUCCUGAGAUGUGGUUGGAUAGGGAUGGUCCACCUCUGGCAGCAUCUUGCCUGCCCGCCUGGUAGAUAGUGCUCUGCCCUCCCAUGCCCUCAGACUCCUCUGUCCUCCCCUUGAUAAGGCCCGGGUCGUGUUGUUCCAGUUUCAUCCAUUAAAUGGUGCACUGUCAGGCAGAGUGUAAUAAAUCUCCAGCAUCUGUGACCUGCCCGGAGACUACUUCUUUCUUCUCACCCCAAGUCCAUGUUCACUGCUAGUUCCUGUAGGAGAGACAGCUAAGUUUACAGUGUUGGAGAACUCUGCUCAGAGGGUCACCUUUUAUCUAGAAACAUAAUUUGGUUUGAUAGACCAUAGCUUUUAGUUUUAAGAGAAUCAAUAUCACUUUCAUUUUCUUCCUUGGUAUUCCCUUAAUGUUCUAUCAUGAACAGCUGGUUUCAUGUGCAGCAAAAGCUUUAGCUGUACACAGUAGUACACACCUGCAAUCCCAGCACUCUGCAGCCAGCCUGUCUCAGUGCAGUACCUAGAAAUCAAAGUCGAUAAGUUUAUAGUGACAGAUUGUUCAGGAAGAUGAGCUCCUGGCCUGCACUAAGUUCUGCUAGAUUCACUGUUCUUCCUGGAAGUCUGAUUUACUCUUGGUUUUUAUUUUACAACUUCUUUUUAUAAUUACUUGUUUGUUUAGUGUGUAUGUGUGUGUGUUUGCACGCACAUGUAUGCACACAAGAGCACCUGUACCACAGAGUAUGUGGAUCACAGGACAACUUGCAGAAGUCAUUUCUCUCCUUCUGCCAUGUGGGCCUUGGAAAUUGGACUCUGGCUCUGAGGUAUGGUGGCUACUGAGCCAUCUUGCUGAUGCUUUUGUUGUCUUUGUAGCCCAGGAUGAUCUCAAACUCACAGCAGUCCUCCUGCUUCAGCCUCCUGAAUGCUAAAAAGAUAGUUGUGGGCCAACUUUCAUGGCUGCUUUUACAAUGUCUUGUCAAGUUGGAGCAGAUGCACUACACACGCAAACUGAGUUUAUUCUGACAUAAAUCUAUGUUUGUAUGACAUGUGCUGGGUAUACUUACUGAAACUGUAAAUAGAACGUCUGGGUUGAUUUCUGACAAAUUAAAGUAUGUCGAUUGUCACAGUUUUAGACGUAGAGGAAAUGGGAUGGCUUAGAAGCUUGGAUUCCUAUGAAGACAGAGACAUGCCCAUUACUCAGAAGAGAGCUGUGUGGGCUUUGUUUCUGGUGCCCAUUCACUUGUGCUCUGGCCCGUACACCCGCUGACCCCAUUUUCAUUAGAAGGCUUUCUCUGUGUAUGUUUCCUUUUCCUGUGAUGACCUGUAGCUGAUUUUGAUUCCGAGUGGAGAUAUGUGCUCUUUCCAGGUCUUUCCCAGAUUUAUGCCUGCCACCUUUUUUUGUUUUUGUUUUUGUUUUUGUUUUCGAGACAGGGUUUCUCUGUGUAGCCCUGGGUGUCCUGGAACUCUGUAGACCAGGCUGGCCUUGAACAUAGAAAUCUGCCUGCCUCUGCCUCCCGAGUGCUGGGAUUAAAGGCGUGUGCCACCACUGCCCGGCUUGCCUGUCACUUCUUCGUGGCAAUGUUUUAUCUUCACUUACAUUAUUUUUCUCCUUUUAAAUUAGUUACAUCAAAAAAACAUAAAGCAGAAACAUAUUUGAGAAAGAUAUUUAAAAAUACUUAGAUUUGAAUGUCUCCUCUUUUAAGUAAGAAUUUGCAGUCCUUUUUAACAUUUAAAACAUUAAGUACACAGUUUGGAAAGAUCAUGUUCCUUUGAGUGAUUUGUUAUGCUGUUUGAUCAGUACAAGAAACAGCAAUAGAUGAUACAUCUGUAGUUUUAUAUAGCCUCUCC